GGAGGGGUGCCGGAGUGGUUGAACGGGGCAGUCUCGAAAAUUGUUGUUCCGGUUCUCGGAACCGUGGGUUCGAAUCCCACCCCCUCCG
This 88-nucleotide transfer RNA is filed under the name Caldithrix abyssi. RNAcentral describes it as "tRNA-Ser". It matches the Rfam family "tRNA". From Rfam's summary of the family: Transfer RNA (tRNA) molecules are approximately 80 nucleotides in length. Their secondary structure includes four short double-helical elements and three loops (D, anti-codon, and T loops). The record is from RNAcentral. Lineage: Bacteria; Pseudomonadati; Calditrichota; Calditrichia; Calditrichales; Calditrichaceae.